UUUAGCAUGCUCGACUAGAUGCAAGGCCUUGACAAAGCAAAUUAACACGUAGCAACUAAGCAUGCAAGACACAUAAGACAAUUAAAGCCCUAACUAUUACAUUUGCUAGCUAGGCACAUGACUUCGAUAGGUCUUCAUUGAAUGCUCCUCCAAGCCCUAUCUAUUACAUUAGGGAGACCCUACUACAAUCUAAAAGGGGGAAAAGGAAUAAAAUAAUUAAAUCCCUAACUAUUACAAGCCAAGAGAUGUACACAUACCCCAUAAAGAAUAACUUAAAUGAAAAGCAAAAGUAAAUGACAUAAAUAAAAGAAAUUAAAGAAAAAUAAGGGAAGCAAGUAGACAUGCAAUUUUCACGUAGCACGUUGGAUCACAUAGGGGAGAGACAAAAAAGAUAAAAGAAAUUAUACCUCCCUUGAAAUGGAGCUCUAGUGGGGUGAAGUCACUUAUUUAUCCUCCAAAAUAAAAGAAAUGGUCAAGGCACCAAUUUAUUAACAAAUAAUCAUGAAAGAUAAAAAUGAAUUGUGAAAUUGAAUCAAUUAAAUCAUGUAAGUGACCUACAUUCAAGAAAUUAAAACAAGUGAGGACUCAAUUGCAAGAAUUAACAAAGUUUUGGGGGUGCAAUCACAAUUAUCACAAAGAUCCGGGGUCACAAUCAAAGAAAAAUAAAGUGCAGGGGCCUAUUUGCAAUUACAUUAGGGACCCAAUUAAAAGCAUUGAAAGUGUCUAGGGUCACAAUACAGUUAAGGAGAAAUUCAGGGAUUGAUUUGCAAAAUCGUUUUAUGGUUUCUUAAGCAGACAAGCUUCUGGGCCUAUUUCUUAUUUCAACUUCCUAAGCCCAAAAAGAAUCUAACGAACAGAUGCGGGCCAAAACAUUAUGUUUAUCAAACAAACCCAACAACAUGAAUGGACUUUUAACCCCCCCCCCAAAUCAACUACAAGCCCAGGAAACAAACAAAACAAAUCCCAACAAUUCGCAUUAAAAUUUAAAAGAGCCAAAUCAAAUCGAUUUUUAUAUAUUUUAGGCCACUGGGAAAUUAAACAAAUUUUGAGGGGUUAAAUUGUAAUUUCCAGAUUUGUUCAUGCAUGCUCUGCGCAGAAGGCUUUCCUUCACAGAAACUCUUCUUCAUCACUGAUUUCUUGGAUUUUUGCAGCAUAUACAAUCGAAGUAACUUAGGCCUUCUCAAACCAAAUCAUCAAAUUCAUUAACCCAUUCCCUUAAGCUCCAAAACUCGACAUAAGAAGCAAGAUACAAACCCCUGAAGGUCGAUCAAAGAACCAAAAUAAUGGAAGAGCAUGCAAUCAGGACAUUUUCUGCAACAAUACUUUUUAUGAAUUUCAUGCCAGGCGCAAACAACGACCAAACAUUCAAACCAAAAAAAAAAAAAAA
Molecule: long non-coding RNA, 1387 nt
Filed under: Coffea arabica (coffee)
Lineage: Eukaryota; Viridiplantae; Streptophyta; Magnoliopsida; Gentianales; Rubiaceae
Description: long non-coding RNA (CARA_LNC006289)
Source: RNAcentral